UCCCGACCUCCGCCGUGGCGGCUCCCGCCUCUUCGAGGGAGGCGCCUGCCGGGCCAGCCCCUCACCGCGACGCGGGGCCGCACGUGCGCCGCCCAGCGGUCGGGGUGGGUGGUGCACGCGGCCCGCAGGCGGCGAGGGCCGCCCCGCGCGGUCGCAGUGGAGGCGGCGCGUCACCGGUUUGGGUCGCGCUCAGAGGGGCACGGCCGGCGGCCGAAGCCGGUAGAAGAGCGCCGAGAAGCCGGGAGUGCGGGGAGAAGAGGCCCCGGGAGCAGAGACUGUCCGCAGAGGCCAGUGGCGACCUCGCCCCGGGCCGCGGCGUCCCGCACGCGCAGAGCAGAGUCCCGCGAAUGCGCUUGUGCCGAAGCAGCCGGACGGGCUAAACGGUGCUCGCCGGCCCGACGGUAGAUGGUGGCUGCGCCGUCGCCUCGGGCCACGAGCUCAGGGUGCGGGGAUCGAGGCCCGCGCCGGGCUCCCUGCUCAGUCUGAGUCCGCUCCCCCGUCUCUCCCCCUGCGCGCUCUCGCGCUCUCUCGCGCUCGCAAAUAAAAUAAAAUCUUUAAAAAAACAA
Molecule: long non-coding RNA, 566 nt
Organism: Mustela lutreola (European mink)
Lineage: Eukaryota; Metazoa; Chordata; Mammalia; Carnivora; Mustelidae
Exons: 2
Source: RefSeq, a predicted model, not a curated record